Molecule: ribosomal RNA, 1376 nt
Filed under: fungal sp. C29 LX-2014
Lineage: Eukaryota; Fungi
Description: eukaryotic LSU rRNA
Rfam family: Eukaryotic large subunit ribosomal RNA (bases 440-1376)
Source: RNAcentral
AUUGGUCAUGUCGAAGAUAGCGUCCUUGCCUAUUUUUUGGAGUACCUUCUGUUUCCUCGGCAGGCUUGCCUGCCACUGGGGACCCUUUAAACUCUUUGUAAAUACAGUAUCUGUCUGAAAAAACAAACAAAAAUCAAAACUUUCAACAAUGGAUCUCUUGGUUCUGGCAUCGAUGAAGAACGCAGCAAAAUGCGAUAAGUAGUGUGAAUUGCAGAAUUCAGUGAAUCAUCGAAUCUUUGAACGCACAUUGCGCCCUUUGGUAUUCCUUAGGGCAUGCCUGUUCGAGCGUCAUUUUCACCUUCAAGCACAGCUUGGUGUUGGGCGUCUGUCCCCCGCGGACUCGCCUCGAAACUAUUGGCAGCCACUCCAGCGGCUUUGAGCGCAGCAGAAUUGCGUCUCUUGCGGCGAGGGGGGGCAUCCAUAAGCAUAUUUUUUAUUUUGACCUCGGAUCAGGUAGGGAUACCCGCUGAACUUAAGCAUAUCAAUAAGCGGAGGAAAAGAAACCAACAGGGAUUGCCCUAGUAACGGCGAGUGAAGCGGCAACAGCUCAAAUUUGAAAUCUGGCUCCUUUGGGGGUCCGAGUUGUAAUUUGUAGAGGGUGCUUUGGCGUUGGCUGUGGUCUAAGUUCCUUGGAACAGGACGUCGCAGAGGGUGAGAAUCCCGUAUGUGGCCGCCAGUCUUCGCCGUGUAAAGCCCCUUCGACGAGUCGAGUUGUUUGGGAAUGCAGCUCUAAAUGGGAGGUAAAUUUCUUCUAAAGCUAAAUAUUGGCCAGAGACCGAUAGCGCACAAGUAGAGUGAUCGAAAGAUGAAAAGCACUUUGGAAAGAGAGUCAAAAAGCACGUGAAAUUGUUGAAAGGGAAGCGCUUGCAGCCAGACUUGCUUGUAGUUGCUUAGCCUGGCUUUUGCCUGGUGUACUCUUCUACAUGCAGGCCAGCAUCAGUCCGGGCGGUUGGAUAAAGGCCUAUUAAACGUACCUCUCCUCGGGGAGGACUUAUAGGGUAGGUGCCAUGCAACCAGCCUGGAUUGAGGUCCGCGCAUCUGCUAGGAUGCUGGCGUAAUGGCUGUAAGCGGCCCGUCUUGAAACACGGACCAAGGAGUCUAACAUCUAUGCGAGUGUUUGGGUGUCAAGCCCGAGCGCGUAAUGAAAGUGAACGGAGGUGGGAACCUUUCGGGGUGCACCAUCGACCGAUCCUGAUGUCUUCGGAAGGAUUUGAGUAAGAGCAUAGCUGUUGGGACCCGAAAGAUGGUGAACUAUGCCUGAAUAGGGUGAAGCCAGAGGAAACUCUGGUGGAGGCUCGCAGCGGUUCUGACGUGCAAAUCGAUCGUCAAAUUUGGGCAUAGGGGCGAAAGACUAAAUCGAACCAUUCUAUUUCGGC